AUUGAACGCUGGCGGCAGGCUUAACACAUGCAAGUCGAGCGGAGAUGAGGUGCUUGCACCUUAUCUUAGCGGCGGACGGGUGAGUAAUGCUUAGGAAUCUGCCUAUUAGUGGGGGACAACAUUCCGAAAGGAAUGCUAAUACCGCAUACGUCCUACGGGAGAAAGCAGGGGAUCUUCGGACCUUGCGCUAAUAGAUGAGCCUAAGUCGGAUUAGCUAGUUGGUGGGGUAAAGGCCUACCAAGGCGACGAUCUGUAGCGGGUCUGAGAGGAUGAUCCGCCACACUGGGACUGAGACACGGCCCAGACUCCUACGGGAGGCAGCAGUGGGGAAUAUUGGACAAUGGGGGGAACCCUGAUCCAGCCAUGCCGCGUGUGUGAAGAAGGCCUUAUGGUUGUAAAGCACUUUAAGCGAGGAGGAGGCUACUGAGACUAAUACUCUUGGAUAGUGGACGUUACUCGCAGAAUAAGCACCGGCUAACUCUGUGCCAGCCGCCGCAGUAA
This 501-nucleotide ribosomal RNA is filed under the name uncultured bacterium. RNAcentral's name for it is "partial 16S ribosomal RNA". It matches the Rfam family "Bacterial small subunit ribosomal RNA", at positions 30 to 523 of the family's 1533-position model. The record is from RNAcentral.